Molecule: transfer RNA, 71 nt
Filed under: Arcos sp. KU 149
Lineage: Eukaryota; Metazoa; Chordata; Actinopteri; Blenniiformes; Gobiesocidae
Also listed under: 1 other name
Description: tRNA-Gln
Rfam family: tRNA
About the family: Transfer RNA (tRNA) molecules are approximately 80 nucleotides in length. Their secondary structure includes four short double-helical elements and three loops (D, anti-codon, and T loops). Further hydrogen bonds mediate the characteristic L-shaped molecular structure. tRNAs have two regions of fundamental functional importance: the anti-codon, which is responsible for specific mRNA codon recognition, and the 3' end, to which the tRNAs corresponding amino acid is attached (by aminoacyl-tRNA synthetases). tRNAs cope with the degeneracy of the genetic code in two manners: having more than one tRNA (with a specific anti-codon) for a particular amino acid; and 'wobble' base-pairing, i.e. permitting non-standard base-pairing at the 3rd anti-codon position.
Source: RNAcentral
UAGGAAGUGGUGUAGUGGAAGCACUAAGAGUUUUGAUCUCUUAAGGGGAGGUUCAAACCCUCUUUUUCUAA